RNAcentral lists this ribosomal RNA (407 nucleotides) under uncultured bacterium. RNAcentral describes it as "bacterial SSU rRNA". It matches the Rfam family "Bacterial small subunit ribosomal RNA", at positions 354 to 777 of the family's 1533-position model. The record is from RNAcentral.
GUGGGGAAUAUUGCACAAUGGGGGAAACCCUGAUGCAGCAACGCCGCGUGAAGGAAGACGGUUUUCGGAUUGUAAACUUCUGUUCUUAGUGAAGAAUAAUGACGGUAGCUAAGGAGCAAGCCACGGCUAACUACGUGCCAGCAGCCGCGGUAAUACGUAGGUGGCAAGCGUUGUCCGGAAUUACUGGGUGUAAAGGGAGCGUAGGCGGGAAGCCAAGUCAGCUGUGAAAACUACGGGCUUAACCUGUAGACUGCAGUUGAAACUGGUUUUCUUGAGUGAAGUAGAGGUUGGCGGAAUUCCGAGUGUAGCGGUGAAAUGCGUAGAUAUUCGGAGGAACACCGGUGGCGAAGGCGGCCAACUGGGCUUUAACUGACGCUGAGGCUCGAAAGUGUGGGGAGCAAACAGGA